CUCGUAGGCGGUUUGUCACGUCGGGAGUGAAAACUCAGGGCUCAACCCUGAGCGUGCUUCCGAUACGGGCAGACUAGAGGUAUGCAGGGGAGAACGGAAUUCCUGGUGUAGCGGUGGAAUGCGCAGAUAUCAGGAGGAACACCGGUGGCGAAGGCGGUUCUCUGGGCAUUACCUGACGCUGAGGAGCGAAAGCAUGGGGAGCGAACAGGAUUAGAUACCCUGGUAGUCCAUGCCGUAAACGUUGGGCGCUAGGUGUGGGGACCUUCCACGGUCUCCGUGCCGCAGCUAACGCAUUAAGCGCCCCGCCUGGGGAGUACGGCCGCAAGGCUAAA
This 332-nucleotide ribosomal RNA is filed under the name uncultured Aeromicrobium sp. RNAcentral describes it as "bacterial SSU rRNA". It matches the Rfam family "Bacterial small subunit ribosomal RNA", at positions 568 to 898 of the family's 1533-position model. Lineage: Bacteria; Bacillati; Actinomycetota; Actinomycetes; Propionibacteriales; Nocardioidaceae. The record is from RNAcentral.